ACCACUGUACUUCAGUGGCAGAGCAUGUGCCUUGCAUACAGAAGUUCCCAGGUUCAAUACCUGGCGUCUGCAGGUA
Non-coding RNA from Podarcis lilfordi (Lilford's wall lizard), 76 nucleotides. NCBI's taxonomy places the organism in Eukaryota, Metazoa, Chordata, Lepidosauria, Squamata, Lacertidae. The record is from the annotation of a GenBank genome assembly.